AGCAGCCGCGGUAAUUCCAGCUCCAAUAGCGUAUAUUAAAGUUGUUGCAGUUAAAAAGCUCGUAGUUGAAUUUCGGGAUCAGUACGCCGGUCGUGCCUCCGGUAUGUACUGGUGUUACUGGUUCCUACCUUCUGACGAACCGUCAUGUCAUUAAUUUGGUGUGGCGGGGAAUCAGGACUGUUACUUUGAAAAAAUUAGAGUGUUUAAAGCAGGCUCGCGCUUGAAUACAUUAGCAUGGAAUAAUGAAAUAGGACGUUCGAUCCUAUUUUGUUGGUUUCUAGGAUUGACGUAAUGAUUAAUAGGGAUAGUUGGGGGCAUUAGUAUUCAAUUGUCAGAGGUGAAAUUCUUGGAUUUAUUGAAGACUAACUACUGCGAAAGCAUUUGCCAAGGAUGUUUUCAUUAAUCAAGAACGAAAGUUAGGGGAUCGAAGACGAUCAGAUACCGUCGUAGUCUUAACCAUAAACUAUGCCGACUAGGGAUCGGAUGAUGUUAUUUUAAUGACUCAUUCGGCGCCUUACGG
This 520-nucleotide ribosomal RNA is filed under the name uncultured Glomus. Its description in RNAcentral is "SSU rRNA". It matches the Rfam family "Eukaryotic small subunit ribosomal RNA", at positions 569 to 1093 of the family's 1831-position model. The record is from RNAcentral. Lineage: Eukaryota; Fungi; Glomeromycota; Glomeromycetes; Glomerales; Glomeraceae.